GAUGAACGCUGGCGGCGUGCCUAAUACAUGCAAGUCGAGCGAACAGACGAGGAGCUUGCUCCUCUGACGUUAGCGGCGGACGGGUGAGUAACACGUGGAUAACCUACCUAUAAGACUGGGAUAACUUCGGGAAACCGGAGCUAAUACCGGAUAAUAUAUUGAACCGCAUGGUUCAAUAGUGAAAGACGGUUUUGCUGUCACUUAUAGAUGGAUCCGCGCCGCAUUAGCUAGUUGGUAAGGUAACGGCUUACCAAGGCAACGAUGCGUAGCCGACCUGAGAGGGCGAUCGGCCGCACUGGAACUGAGACACGGUCCAGACUCCUACGGGAGGCAGCAGUAGGGAAUCUUCCGCAAAGGGCGAAAGCCUGACGGAGCAACGCCGCGUGAGUGAUGAAGGUCUUCGGAUCGUAAAACUCUGUUAUUAGGGAAGAACAAAUGUGUAAGUAACUAUGCACGUCUUGACGGUACCUGAUCAGAAAGCCACGGCUAGCUACGUG
RNAcentral lists this ribosomal RNA (497 nucleotides) under uncultured bacterium. RNAcentral describes it as "partial 16S ribosomal RNA". It matches the Rfam family "Bacterial small subunit ribosomal RNA", at positions 28 to 507 of the family's 1533-position model. The record is from RNAcentral.